GCGGAAAUUUAAAACUUUUUCAAUACAAUCAAAGUAUUUAUAAAACGAGCGGAAGUCUAAUACAAUUGUCUCAAACCAUCUAAACAUCAUGAAUAAUCUUGGGACACAGCCCAUACAAUAGUCCAACAUGAAAAGAAAGACAUAAACGGAAAAUGGGGGUGAAAUCCUCGAAAGCUAUGAGGACCCACCAAAUCUUCAAUCCUUGAUAUACUAUGAUCCUAGCCACAAAGGUGCGCAUCAAUAUCUC
This 247-nucleotide long non-coding RNA is filed under the name Solanum tuberosum (potato). Its description in RNAcentral is "long non-coding RNA (STUB_LNC007235)". Lineage: Eukaryota; Viridiplantae; Streptophyta; Magnoliopsida; Solanales; Solanaceae. The record is from RNAcentral.